AUUGAACGCUGGCGGCAUGCCUUACACAUGCAAGUCGAACGGCAGCACGGGUUCUUGCACCUGGUGGCGAGUGGCGAACGGGUGAGUAAUACAUCGGAACAUGUCCUGUAGUGGGGGAUAGCCCGGCGAAAGCCGGAUUAAUACCGCAUACGAUCUACGGAUGAAAGCGGGGGACCUUCGGGCCUCGCCCUAUAGGGUUGGCCGAUGGCUGAUUAGCUAGUUGGUGGGGUAAAGGCCUACCAAGGCGACGAUCAGUAGCUGGUCUGAGAGGACGACCAGCCACACUGGGACUGAGACACGGCCCAGACUCCUACGGGAGGCAGCAGUGGGGAAUUUUGGACAAUGGGCGAAAGCCUGAUCCAGCAAUGCCGCGUGUGUGAAGAAGGCCUUCGGGUUGUAAAGCACUUUUGUCCGGAAAGAAAUCCUUGGCCCUAAUACGGUCGGGGGAUGACGGUACCGGAAGAAUAAGCACCGGCUAACUACGUG
Molecule: ribosomal RNA, 486 nt
Filed under: uncultured bacterium
Lineage: Bacteria
Description: partial 16S ribosomal RNA
Rfam family: Bacterial small subunit ribosomal RNA
Source: RNAcentral